RNAcentral lists this long non-coding RNA (945 nucleotides) under Nicotiana tabacum (common tobacco). RNAcentral describes it as "long non-coding RNA (NTAB_LNC015347)". Lineage: Eukaryota; Viridiplantae; Streptophyta; Magnoliopsida; Solanales; Solanaceae. The record is from RNAcentral.
GCAUGAGAAAUAACUUAUUCCGCAUAAACUAAAAUUUAAAAAGUUUCACAAAAUAAAUUUCCAAAUACACAUUUGUACUAAUCAGUUAAUAGCAUCUGCAAUACAUAAGCCGUGUACAAUAAUCAAAAAUUGAAGGAAAAACUUGCCAAUGUGAGGCUUGAUUAUAACAUAUAUCAGAAAUAAUGUACAAAAUUUUGCAGUGAACAUAAGUAUUUGCUUGAUGAUUCAUGUUGCCACCUUCAUCGCACCCCCUUGAUCUUCAUGCAUCUAAGAAUAUAUGAAGCACACUCACUAGACUGAAAUAAUAAAAUAACAUGAUCUUGUGAGAAACUUAUAUUUGAAUUCUCAAAACAUAUAAAGAUGCAUAUACGGUUACUNNNNNNNNNNNNNNNNNNNCAAGGAGAUGGAAAAAAGAAGUAAAACUUACAAUUUGGCAUAAAAAGAGAUUGAAAUUUCUCAAAGGCACAUUUUCUUGAGUACCCUGUAAAUCAAAAACAAAUAAUUGAAGCAGAAACCCAAGUUAAUUGCUUGUAAAACACAAAACCUAUCAAAUAUUCAAAAUCGCACUCACUACUUAUAAAAUAUAAGGCAUAAUAUCUUUCAAAUUGCUGGAAUAACUCGUAAAUUGAAGUUAAAAAUCUAAAUUCAAGUAAAUGUAAGGAGAUUCAGAAACUCUACGAUAUAGAGACAUGAGCUUACCCGGAAAGAGACAAACCAACACGUUAAAUUUCUGUCUAUAAAUAGAGAACCAGUGGGGAUACCAUCUUGUUCCUCUUUAUCUUUCUUGCGGCCUUAAUUAAGGCCGACUACUGAAGGUGGAAGAAAGACAUAAGAAAAUGGGGAGGGAGAGUGCGGCUGAGGGAGGAAGUAGGAAGUUUAGGUUUAGGUUUUAGAUUUACGUCGUCUACUUUUAUAUAUGUUGCCUUAGUUUACUUCUAAUACAAA